UACGGAGGGUGCAAGCGUUGUUCGGAAUCACUGGGCGUAAAGGGCGCGCAGGCGGUUUGGUAAGUCAGAUGUGAAAGCCCACGGCUUAACCGUGGAAGUGCAUUUGAAACUGCCAGACUUGAGUAUCAGAGGGGAAAGUGGAAUUCCCGGUGUAGAGGUGAAAUUCGUAGAUAUCGGGAGGAAUACCGGUGGCGAAGGCGACUUUCUGGCUGAAUACUGACGCUGAGGCGCGAAAGCGUGGGGAGCAAACAGG
RNAcentral lists this ribosomal RNA (253 nucleotides) under uncultured bacterium. Its description in RNAcentral is "partial 16S ribosomal RNA". It matches the Rfam family "Bacterial small subunit ribosomal RNA", at positions 524 to 776 of the family's 1533-position model. The record is from RNAcentral.